This 626-nucleotide ribosomal RNA is filed under the name Acidobacteriota bacterium. Its description in RNAcentral is "bacterial SSU rRNA". It matches the Rfam family "Bacterial small subunit ribosomal RNA", at positions 1 to 606 of the family's 1533-position model. Lineage: Bacteria; Pseudomonadati; Acidobacteriota. The record is from RNAcentral.
UCUAACGAGAGUUUGAUCCUGGCUCAGAAUCAACGCUGGCGGCGUGCCUCAGACAUGCAAGUCGAACGCGAAAGGCCCCUUCGGGGGCCGAGUAGAGUGGCGCACGGGUGAGUAACACGUAGGUAAUCUACCUCUGGGUGGGGAAUAACAGCCGGAAACGGCUGCUAAUACCGCAUAACGCAGCGGCACCACAUGGUGACAGUUGUUAAAGCGGGGGAACUUCGGUCCUCGCGCCUGGAGAGGAGCCUGCGGCGGAUUAGCUAGUUGGUGGGGUAAUGGCUCACCAAGGCAACGAUCCGUAGCCGGCCUGAGAGGGCGGUCGGCCACACUGGCACUGACAUACGGGCCAGACUCCUACGGGAGGCAGCAGUCGGGAAUUUUGGGCAAUGGGCGAAAGCCUGACCCAGCAACGCCGCGUGGAGGAUGAAGUUUUUCGGAAUGUAAACUCCGUAAGAAUGGGAAGAAUAAGGGAGGGCCAACACCCCUUCCGAUGACGGUACCAUUCGUAAGCUCCGGCUAACUCCGUGCCAGCAGCCGCGGUAAUACGGGGGGAGCAAGCGUUGUUCGGAUUUACUGGGCGUAAAGGGCGCGUAGGCGGCGCAACAAGUCACUUGUGAAAUCUCCGG